RNAcentral lists this ribosomal RNA (811 nucleotides) under uncultured Alphaproteobacteria bacterium. RNAcentral describes it as "bacterial SSU rRNA". It matches the Rfam family "Bacterial small subunit ribosomal RNA", at positions 546 to 1356 of the family's 1533-position model. The record is from RNAcentral. Lineage: Bacteria; Pseudomonadati; Pseudomonadota; Alphaproteobacteria.
CGGAAUUACUGGGCGUAAAGCGCGCGUAGGCGGUUAAGUAAGUUAAUUGUGAAAGCCCGAAGCUCAACUUCGGAAUUGCAAUUAAAACUACUUAGCUAGAGUUUAUCAGAGGAAAGCGGAAUACAUAGUGUAGAGGUGAAAUUCGUAGAUAUUAUGUAGAACACCAGUUGCGAAGGCGGCUUUCUGGGAUAACACUGACGCUGAGGUGCGAAAGUAUGGGUAGCGAAGAGGAUUAGAUACCCUCGUAGUCCAUACCGUAAACGAUGAUUGUUAGAUGUUGGAAAUUUAUUUUCAGUAUCACAGCUAACGCGUUAAACAAUCCGCCUGGGGAGUACGACCGCAAGGUUAAAACUCAAAUGAAUUGACGGGGACCCGCACAAGCGGUGGAGCAUGUGGUUUAAUUCGAAGCUACGCGCAGAACCUUACCAACACUUGACAUGUCUGUCGCGGAUUCCAGAGAUGGAUUCCUUCGGUUCGGCCGGACAGAACACAGGUGCUGCAUGGCUGUCGUCAGCUCGUGUCGUGAGAUGUUGGGUUAAGUCCCGCAACGAGCGCAACCCCUACUUCUAGUUGCCAUCAGGUAAAGCUGGGCACUCUAGUAGGACUGCCUGUGAUAAGCAGGAGGAAGGUUGGGAUGACGUCAAGUCCUCAUGGCCCUUACGUGUUGGGCUACACACGUGCUACAAUGGCAGUGACAAUGAGAUGCUAAACGGCGACGUUAAGCUAAACUCAAAAACCUGCCUCAGUUCGGAUUGCACUCUGCAACUCGAGUGCAUGAAGCUGGAAUCGCUAGUAAUCGCUCAUCAGCGCG